This 424-nucleotide long non-coding RNA is filed under the name Ursus maritimus (polar bear). RNAcentral's name for it is "lncRNA (ENSUMAG00000007011.1)". Lineage: Eukaryota; Metazoa; Chordata; Mammalia; Carnivora; Ursidae. The record is from RNAcentral.
GUUGCCUCAUUCACACAGCUCGGCCAGUGUACUUUUAAUUCUACCCACUUCAUAACCCCUAGGUAUGGAGAAAAGAUUGCCCGCGCUCCUUCUCCAACCGCUCAGUCAACACCACUAGCGGGCGUUUUCAGCGACGAGCUUGGAGUGCCCCCCUGUGGAAGGAGAUGAGCACUGCAAUUGCCUCCUUACAGGUCAGGGGAGAUGACAGUGCCAACCUCACAGAGUGAUGAAGAGGGAAACAGCAGUCAAAAAAACCAGCACCUGACACAGGGGAUAAUAUUGAUCCACCAUUAUAUGUUCGAACUGAAUUUCUGGUCAUCUCAUGCUCAUGAUUCCACUGAGUUACCUGCUCUUUCUUGUCCUACCUUGCGGCUGCAAGUGCAAGCUAUGGUAUGGGACAAGUUUUCCCCUGUGUAAAGCUAAC